This 253-nucleotide ribosomal RNA is filed under the name uncultured bacterium. RNAcentral's name for it is "partial 16S ribosomal RNA". It matches the Rfam family "Bacterial small subunit ribosomal RNA", at positions 524 to 776 of the family's 1533-position model. The record is from RNAcentral.
UACGUAGGGCGCAAGCGUUAUCCGGAAUUAUUGGGCGUAAAGAGCUCGUAGGCGGUUUGUCGCGUCUGCCGUGAAAGUCCGGGGCUCAACUCCGGAUCUGCGGUGGGUACGGGCAGACUAGAGUGAUGUAGGGGAGACUGGAAUUCCUGGUGUAGCGGUGAAAUGCGCAGAUAUCAGGAGGAACACCGAUGGCGAAGGCAGGACUCUGGGCAUUAACUGACGCUGAGAAGCGAAAGCAUGGGGAGCGAACAGG